CCUACGGGGGGCAGCAGUGGGGAAUAUUGGACAAUGGGCGAAAGCCUGAUCCAGCCAUGCCGCGUGUGUGAAGAAGGCCUUCGGGUUGUAAAGCACUUUCAGUGGGGAAGAAAGCCUUGGGGCUAAUACCCUCGAGGAAGGACAUCACCCACAGAAGAAGCACCGGCUAACUCCGUGCCAGCAGCCGCGGUAAUACGGAGGGUGCGAGCGUUAAUCGGAAUUACUGGGCGUAAAGCGCGCGUAGGCGGUCUGAUAAGCCGGUUGUGAAAGCCCCGGGCUCAACCUGGGAACAGCAUCCGGAACUGUCAGGCUAGAGUGCAGGAGAGGAAGGUAGAAUUCCCGGUGUAGCGGUGAAAUGCGUAGAGAUCGGGAGGAAUACCAGUGGAGAAGGCGGCCUUCUGGACUGACACUGACGCUGAGGUGCGAAAGCGUGGGUAGCAAACAGGAUUAGAUACCCCAGUAGUC
This 465-nucleotide ribosomal RNA is filed under the name Vreelandella stevensii. RNAcentral describes it as "partial 16S ribosomal RNA". It matches the Rfam family "Bacterial small subunit ribosomal RNA", at positions 338 to 795 of the family's 1533-position model. Lineage: Bacteria; Pseudomonadati; Pseudomonadota; Gammaproteobacteria; Oceanospirillales; Halomonadaceae. The record is from RNAcentral.